RNAcentral lists this transfer RNA (74 nucleotides) under Trueperaceae bacterium. Its description in RNAcentral is "tRNA-Gln". It matches the Rfam family "tRNA". From Rfam's summary of the family: Transfer RNA (tRNA) molecules are approximately 80 nucleotides in length. Lineage: Bacteria; Thermotogati; Deinococcota; Deinococci; Trueperales; Trueperaceae. The record is from RNAcentral. RNAcentral also lists the same sequence under 3 other names.
UGGCCCAUCGUCUAAUGGCAGGACAACCGGUUUUGGUCCGGUCGGUCGGGGUUCGAAUCCCUGUGGGCCAGCCA